Apis mellifera (honey bee) is the source of this 1773-nucleotide long non-coding RNA. RefSeq lists it as uncharacterized. The transcript has 2 exons. NCBI's taxonomy places the organism in Eukaryota, Metazoa, Arthropoda, Insecta, Hymenoptera, Apidae. The record is from RefSeq and is a predicted model, not a curated record.
AAAAUAAAAUAAUGCUAAUUAAAUUGUUUAUUAAUUAACGACAGCAAUAGCGGCUCGUCAAAUUUUUCCAUUUACAAAAAUACGAUUAACCGUUGCGCAUUCUGUGAAUGGAAUUAUCAAUUCGAAGGACUUCAUAUUUGCAACAAUUCUCAAAAACGCUUAUCUUGGGAUACCGUCCCAAUAUCCCGUUUCUGCGAUCGUUGUCCGUGCAAACUUGCUGUACAAAAUCGUGUAGAAAGUAGAAUAAAUUUAUCCAGGAUCCGCCUCUCUUUGUUUGUAAAAUUGAAGGGAAAAAAAAUCACAUAUAUAUAUACCCGACUCUGAAAUACACAAUUUCUAGGAUCAAACGCUACUUAAAUUUCAAGUGGUGUCAACAGUAAGCGAAAUUCCGUAGAAAAGAAAGGAAAAAAAUUCUAGAACGAAUCAUUAAACUUAAGGAAUCGAGAAAUUACUCUGCGUAAUGCAACAACGACAACAAAGAGGAAAGACACAUAUGGACGGAGAAAGGGCAGAGAGAGAGAGAGACGAAUAGAGAGGGAGAAAGAAAAAGGAAGAGAGAAUAAAUAGCAUCGAUUCGAUAAUUGCCAAUGAAUGAAAGUGCGAUCACGAAGUAACGAUCAAAGUGUACGAUAAAGAGAUUACACCGAGAUUACGACCAAUAGUCAGUGUAUCCAGUGUAUUCGUAUACUUCAAAUACCAAAAAAUUAAUAUUAAGAAGCUUGUAGCAAUUGCCGAACAUGAAACCAAAAAAAAAACAAAAAAGGAAGGAAGGAAGGAAGAAAGAAAGAAAGAAAGGAAGGAAAAAAGAAAGAGAGAAAGAAAGAAAAAAAACGUAAGCCAAAAGGGGAACGACAUAUACCCAUGGACUUACAGGUGUCACUUUAUAUACCAAUAAUCAUACAGAAUAAGGUACAGUUCUACGAGCUAGCCGGCGAAAUUGCCAUUCUCCUACGAUACUAUCCCUAAAACUAACUAUAUAUAUGUAUAGCGCUAUAUAUAGUUUUAUUGCGCGCAAACAACAAUAGGAAAAGAAAAAAAAUUUUACUAUUGUGACUCGAUACGUAUAAUGUAUAAAUAUAUCUAUAUAUAUAUCCGUACACGAAGAUGGACAUUGAACGAUUUCUUCCACAUAAUAUACAUAUACGAUGUGCGUGUAUCCACGUGUGAGACGUUUUCUCGAUACACACAAGAGACGAGAAGAUAGGGAAGCGAUAAGAAAAAGUUGGGAAAACACACUCACUUUCCCUAAAACAAAUACAAAAAAGUUGAAUUCGAAGAAGAAUAUUUCGAUCGUGGACGACUGUUUAAGUUAUAUUCGAGUGAUUGAAGUUUGCGCCUGUAGAGGGACGCCUGUAGACAGGCAAUCCGCAUAUACGGUUGGCAACACCGUAUUGCAGGUGACACUCGUCCAGCCGAGCCUCUCGAGCUCACGGCGUAAUGAAAAUUUUAAUUUACUCAAGAUAUUGCUUAAAGAUUUUUAAUAGUAUAUAUAAAAAAAAGAAAACUUUUAAUAUUUAUUUUUUUUUUCCUCCGAUAAUAAAAAUCUUUUUGUUAAAUAAUAAUUGUUUUAUUCUUUUGAUCAACAUUUAUUAAAUCCCCCUCUCUCUUUUAUAUUUGUCUCUAGGUAUCCAGAAUCGAUUUUCCAAAGACUUUUUCAAGAAUAUAUUAACAUUCUAUAUAUGUAUACAGGGUGCUUAGCUACAGACGUCCAAAAAAUUGAAAGAAACGAUUCGCUUCGAAGUGAAAUAAGCGCAAAAAAUCAAAAAUAAAAAA